This 274-nucleotide ribosomal RNA is filed under the name uncultured bacterium. RNAcentral's name for it is "partial 16S ribosomal RNA". It matches the Rfam family "Bacterial small subunit ribosomal RNA", at positions 523 to 796 of the family's 1533-position model. The record is from RNAcentral.
AUACGGAGAGUGCGAGCGUUAUCCGGAUUUAUUAGGUUUAAAGGGUGUGUAGGCGGGAGCCUAAGUCAGUGGUGAAAUCUCACAGCUUAACUGUGAAACUGCCAUUGAAACUGGGUUUCUUGAGUAUAGUUGAGGUAGGCGGAAUGUGUAAUGUAGCGGUGAAAUGCAUAGAUAUUACACAGAACACCGAUUGCGAAGGCAGCUUACUAAGCUAUUACUGACGCUGAUGCACGAAAGCGUGGGUAGCGAACAGGAUUAGAAACCCGUGUAGUCC